GGUGAGUAACGCGUGGGUAACCUGCCUUAUACAGGGGGAUAACAGUUAGAAAUGACUGCUAAUACCGCAUAAGCGCACAGGAUUGCAUGAUCUGGUGUGAAAAACUCCGGUGGUAUAAGAUGGACCCGCGUCUGAUUAGCUGGUUGGUGAGGUAACGGCCCACCAAGGCGACGAUCAGUAGCCGACCUGAGAGGGYGACCGGCCACAUUGGGACUGAGACACGGCCCAAACUCCUACGGGAGGCAGCAGUGGGGAAUAUUGCACAAUGGGGGAAACCCUGAUGCAGCGACGCCGCGUGAGCGAAGAAGUAUUUCGGUAUGUAAAGCUCUAUCAGCAGGGAAGAAAAAAAUGACGGUACCUGACUAAGAAGCCCCGGCUAACUACGUGCCAGCAGCCGCGGUAAUACGUAKGGKGCAAGCGUUAUCCGGAUUUACUGGGUGUAAAGGGAGCGUAGACGGCKRYGYAAGUCUGAAGUGAAAGCCCGGGGCUCAACCCCCGGGACUGCUUUGGAAACUAUGCAGCUAGAGUGUCGGAGAGGUAAGUGGAAUUCCCAGUGUAGCGGUGAAAUGCGUAGAUAUUGGGAGGAACACCAGUGGCGAAGGCGGCUUACUGGACGAUGACUGACGUUGAGGCUCGAAAGCGUGGGGAGCAAACAGGAUUAGAUACCCUGGUAGUCCACGCCGUAAACGAUGACUACUAGGUGUCGGGUGGCAAAGCCAUUCGGUGCCGCAGCAAACGCAAUAAGUAGUCCACCUGGGGAGUACGUUCGCAAGAAUGAAAC
This 781-nucleotide ribosomal RNA is filed under the name human gut metagenome. RNAcentral describes it as "bacterial SSU rRNA". The record is from RNAcentral.